Oryza sativa Japonica Group (Japanese rice) is the source of this 1065-nucleotide long non-coding RNA. RefSeq lists it as uncharacterized. The record is from RefSeq and is a predicted model, not a curated record. Lineage: Eukaryota; Viridiplantae; Streptophyta; Magnoliopsida; Poales; Poaceae.
GCACACCAUCCCCUCCCCUCAAUUGCGCCAUCCCCCACGCAACCGCUAGCCACUCACGCCCUCAGCCCCUCCUCGCAUGUCUCACGCAGCGCCGCAAUCGUCGCCCGCCUUCCGCGCUGCACCGAUUCCCCGUCGCAGCCGUUCUCCUCCACCUUCUCAGGUGCCGCCGCCGCCAGGGAGGCGACGCCCCCACCGAACCACGCCGGGACACCGACGCCCACCUCGCUGAUCCCCUCCCAUCCUCCGCCGCUCCCCUCGCGCCGCCGCCGAUCUCCGCCUCGACGACCGGCUCUGCAUCGUCACUCCUCGCGAUCCCCUCCCGUCCUCCUCCGCGUAGCCCCUGAUCUCUCCUCGACCUUCUCCGUGCCGCCACCGAUCUCCGUUGCCGAAUCAACAUCGCACUCGCACGCCUGGCCAGUCUCCUCCGCGCCAUCAUCGAUCUCCGCCGACCGCUGCUUUUCCCGUCGGAAGCUCCAUUGCCACCCGCGCAGAUCAACCACUUCAAUGUCGGUCUUUCUUGUUACCUUGGCUCCUUGCGAUGGUAUGAUACAUGUUGUUACCUUGUAUUCCAUAUUUGCAGGUUAAUGAUGCUCCUAUUAAAGCCCUGAACUCCCCUGGCAUAUUUGCAAGUGUCCAAACUCAUCAGGGAUGUAAUUAUACUGUAUCAUGACUUUCAACACACAAAGACCUGCGAGCUAAGUGAAUGAGUUUAGAAAGUGAUGCAUAAAUGCAUUGAGAAUGCUAUACCAUCACAACAGACCAAGAACUGCAGCUGGUUUCCAAUUUUUGUGAGAAUCUAACUUUAAACAUCCUGCUGAUCCUUCACUUCCACCAUUUAUCUUGAUUGGCCCAGGAACUGGUUUUGCACCUUUGCAGAUCUCGACCACACAAUUCUCCCAACUCUGCUAUAUUUUUUUAUUAUAACGCAUUAUAGGGAUCUGCGCUCCAAUUUCAACAAAUAUUGUUUAUAUUUCUGCAUGUGCAGCUAAAAAUAUUAUGUUACAUGACUACAAUCUUAUGUUAACAUGACAUGUUCUUAUACAUUUAUACCUUAAUUUAUCCAUA